AUGAAGUAUACAAAAUAUAGACAAAAUCUUAGGGAGGUUAUGGAAUCUCUGACAACCUGGUUUGGUGCACUAUUGUUCUGGUUGAUUUGCCUUGUUGUAAUUAUUUCCCAUAUUUUCUUGUCAAUUGUCUUAUAUAAGUAUAAGAAUACGAAUUUUCUUUUCCAAAUAGACGUCUCUCACAGAAUCUGCAAUUUGCUGCUCUUGUGCUUUCAUGUGGUGACUGAUCUCUUCUCUGAUUGA
Non-coding RNA from Vicia faba (fava bean), 240 nucleotides. Lineage: Eukaryota; Viridiplantae; Streptophyta; Magnoliopsida; Fabales; Fabaceae. The record is from the annotation of a GenBank genome assembly.